Molecule: long non-coding RNA, 437 nt
Organism: Sebastes umbrosus (honeycomb rockfish)
Lineage: Eukaryota; Metazoa; Chordata; Actinopteri; Perciformes; Sebastidae
Exons: 2
Source: RefSeq, a predicted model, not a curated record
CGCUCUAGCUCUCCAAAAAAGAAAGAAGAGCGCUCAUGUCCGUGUGCCACCUCCUUGCAGCACCGCUCCUCUCUCCUCCUGUCUCUCUGUGUCUCUCUCUGGUAGCGGCGGCUCCGUUACUGCCUGAUGACACCGGACCGAUACCACAGAUAUGAAGCACCCCACAGAUAAGACCCAGAUAAGACACAUAUUGUGAUUGGAAAAAAAAAAGACUAAAUAAUCUGGGCCUUUAAGUUAGAUCAUUGUUGCCUUGUUUGAAAGUAUUAAUGCUGGACCGUUGAGCUUCUAGCUGGGAUGCACAUUAAACACCAGGAUCCAAGAGCCAGUUAACCAUUUAUGCAGAGAGGUUAAUGGGUGCAGGUUGAAGGAUGGAUAAGGGAUGAUGAAGAUAUGGAUGUUGAUGAUGAUUUUUCUGCACAAUAAACAAAUUAAAUCAA